AUUGGACGCUGGCGGCAUGCCUUACACAUGCAAGUCGAACGGCAGCACGGAUGCUUGCACCUGGUGGCGAGUGGCGAACGGGUGAGUAAUACAUCGGAACAUGUCCUGUAGUGGGGGAUAGCCCGGCGAAAGCCGGAUUAAUACCGCAUACGAUCUACGGAUGAAAGCGGGGGACCUUCGGGCCUCGCGCUAUAGGGUUGGCCGAUGGCUGAUUAGCUAGUUGGUGGGGUAAAGGCCUACCAAGGCGACGAUCAGUAGAUGGUCUGAGAGGACGACCAGCCACACUGGGACUGAGACACGGCCCAGACUCCUACGGGAGGCAGCAGUGGGGAAUUUUGGACAAUGGGCGAAAGCCUGAUCCAGCAAUGCCGCGUGUGUGAAGAAGGCCUUCGGGUUGUAAAGCACUUUUGUCCGGAAAGAAAUCCUUGGCUCUAAUACAGUCGGGGGAUGACGGUACCGGAAGAAUAAGCACCGGCUAACUACGUG
RNAcentral lists this ribosomal RNA (486 nucleotides) under uncultured bacterium. Its description in RNAcentral is "partial 16S ribosomal RNA". It matches the Rfam family "Bacterial small subunit ribosomal RNA", at positions 30 to 507 of the family's 1533-position model. The record is from RNAcentral.